UACGUAGGGGGGCGAGCGUUGUCCGGAAUCAUUGGGCGUAAAGCGCGUGUAGGCGGUUCAGUAAGUCUGCUGUGAAAGUCCAGGGCUCAACCCUGGGAUGCCGGUGGAUACUGCUGAACUAGAGUGCGGAAGAGGCGAGUGGAAUUCCCGGUGUAGCGGUGAAAUGCGCAGAUAGUCGGGAGGAACACCAAUUGCGAAGGCAGCGUCGCUGG
This 212-nucleotide ribosomal RNA is filed under the name uncultured bacterium. RNAcentral's name for it is "partial 16S ribosomal RNA". It matches the Rfam family "Bacterial small subunit ribosomal RNA", at positions 524 to 732 of the family's 1533-position model. The record is from RNAcentral.